UGGCUCAUUAAAUCAGUUAUCGUUUAUUUGAUAGUACCUUACUACUUGGAUAACCGUGGUAAUUCUAGAGCUAAUACAUGCUAAAAACCCCAACUUCGGGAGGGGUGUAUUUAUUAGAUAAAAAACCAAUGCCCUUCGGGGCUCCUUGGUGAUUCAUGAUAACUUCUCAGAUCGCAUAGCCUUGUGCUGGCGACGGUUCAUUCAAAUUUCUGCCCUAUCAACUUUCGAUGGUAAGGUAGUGGCUUACCAUGGUUUCAACGGGUAACGGGGAAUUAGGGUUCGAUUCCGGAGAGGGAGCCUGAGAAACGGCUACCACAUCCAAGGAAGGCAGCAGGCGCGCAAAUUACCCAAUUCCGAUGCGGAGAGGUAGUGACAAUAAAUACUGAUACAGGGCUCUUUUGGGUCUUGUAAUUGGAAUGAGUACAAUUUAAACCUCUUAACGAGGAACAAUUGGAGGGCAAGUCUGGUGCCAGCAGCCGCGGUAAUUCCAGCUCCAAUAGCGUAUAUUAAAGUUGUUGCAGUUAAAAAGCUCGUAGUUGAACCUUUGGCCUGGCUGGCAGGUCCGCCUCACCGCGUGCACUUGUCCGGCCGGGCCUUUUCUUCUGGAGAACCGCAUGCCCUUCACUGGGUGUGUUGGGGACCAGGACUUUUACUUUGAAAAAAUUAGAGUGUUCAAAGCAGGCCUUUGCUCGAAUACGUUAGCAUGGAAUAAUAGAAUAGGACGUGCGGUCCUAUUUUGUUGGUUUCUAGGACCGCCGUAAUGAUUAAUAGGGACAGUCGGGGGCAUCAGUAUUCAAUUGUCAGAGGUGAAAUUCUUGGAUUUAUUGAAGACUAACUACUGCGAGAGCAUUUGCCAAGGAUGUUUUCUUUAAUCAGUGAACGAAAGUUAGGGGAUCGAAGACGAUCAGAUACCGUCGUAGUCUUAACCAUAAACUAUGCCGACUAGGGAUCGGGCGGUGUUUCUAUUGUGACCCGCUCGGCA
This 982-nucleotide ribosomal RNA is filed under the name Kalmusia variispora. Its description in RNAcentral is "SSU rRNA". It matches the Rfam family "Eukaryotic small subunit ribosomal RNA", at positions 94 to 1085 of the family's 1831-position model. The record is from RNAcentral. Lineage: Eukaryota; Fungi; Ascomycota; Dothideomycetes; Pleosporales; Didymosphaeriaceae.